This 1301-nucleotide long non-coding RNA is filed under the name Homo sapiens (human). RNAcentral describes it as "HSALNT0324383". The record is from RNAcentral. Lineage: Eukaryota; Metazoa; Chordata; Mammalia; Primates; Hominidae.
CAGGCAUUGUGAUGUAGCAUUAGGCUACUAUUGAUCUUCUGAUCAUAUGUCAGAAGGAGGAUCAUCUGCUGUGGGUGUUCCUGAUCUUUGAGCCAUGAUAAUGUUACUGGUUGGAUGUCAGGAGCAGGCCAUGUGGAUGAUUAAAAGAUGAAUAUCAUAUACAGCAUGGAUAUGUUGGACAAAAAGAUGAUUCACAUCCCAGACAGAAUGGAGCAGCACAUUUAUUAAAAGCCAGAAGCUAGAAGACGAGGAAAGAAGAGGUGGUUAAAGAAAGAUACAGUAACAGCAGUAAUAUCUAACAGGAAGGCUACAGGGGAAAAUACAGAAAUUCCAUAAAGAACAAACACUGUAACUCAAAACCAAAGCUUUGCUAGUCACUAGUGCCCGCUACAUCCUAACAGAGUUGUUAUGUAAAACCUCCCAGCGAAAGAAAUAGUCCAGAAAGCUUGAAGAGAAACUGAAAUUUGAAAAAUCUACCUAAAAAGUUGUUCUUCCAGAUGGCAUGAAUCCAACAGUGAAGAAAUCAGAAUACGUUGCUUUUGUGAGGGGCAGCUGCUGAUUUUCUCUGAGCUCCGUUUCCAGCCUUCACAUGCUCUGCUAUUCAUCACAGGGUAAAUUCUGACUAUAGGAGGUACUGACAGAAGAUUAGGGAAGAACAGAGGGCUAAAUGUUUAUUGACUUCUUGAAAAAUGCUAUGUGUCUUGCCAGACUUAGCUUACAAGUUUGGUUAAAGAGAGACUGACAUGAGCAUAAAGGAAGGGACAUUGAAAGAGGCAGAGAUGAAGGAAGAAAUUGUAACUUACUCCUUUUAUCCCACCCAUCAAAGGAAAGACAAGUUGACAAGUAUUGAUUCUGCAACAAACUGAGAAGAAACCUGGCGAUUCACAACAGAGAGCUGAGAAAUCCUAAGUCUGGAUUCCAGCUAAAUGGGAGCAGACUAAAUAGAGCGGCAGUCGGCGAACUACAUGUAGCCCAUGAACAAAAUCCGGUCCAGCACGUGUGUUUUUUUUUACGGCCCACAAAUGAGUCUGUCUUUACAGAUGAAUGUUAAAACUGGGUUGACAAGAGAGAACACUCACUUUGAACCGCAACUAAACAAAAUAUUAUCACCUUUCCCCUCAAAAAAGGUUUUUGUUCUUCUCAUUAGUAAAUUUGUAUUAUGACAAAAUCAUAGUCAAUUUUUAUCAUAUUCUAAAUUUUGACAAUACAAAUUGUGGGAUUUUUUUCCCUGGUUAUAUAUGUACAUACAUAAUGCCCUGAAUUGUUCCUUAUGAUCACGAAGCCCUAAAUAUUUACUGUCU